UGGGGAAUAUUGCACAAUGGGGGAACCCCUGAUGCAGCGACGCCGCGUGAGCGAAGAAGGCUUUCGAGUCGUAAAGCUCUGUCCUAUGAGAAGAUAAUGACGGUAUCAUAGGAGGAAGCCCUGGCUAAAUACGUGCCAGCAGCCGCGGUAAUACGUAUGGGGCGAGCGUUGUCCGGAAUUAUUGGGCGUAAAGGGUACGUAGGUGGUUUUUUAAGUCAGGUGUCAAAGCGUGGAGCUUAACUCCAUUAAGCACUUGAAACUGAAAGACUUGAGUGAAGGAGAGGAAAGUGGAAUUCCUAGUGUAGCGGUGAAAUGCGUAGAUAUUAGGAGGAAUACCGGUGGCGAAGGUGACUUUCUGGACUUUUACUGACGCUCAGGUACGAAAGCGUGGGGAGCAAACAGG
RNAcentral lists this ribosomal RNA (403 nucleotides) under Verrucomicrobiota bacterium. RNAcentral's name for it is "Verrucomicrobia bacterium partial 16S ribosomal RNA". It matches the Rfam family "Bacterial small subunit ribosomal RNA", at positions 355 to 776 of the family's 1533-position model. The record is from RNAcentral. Lineage: Bacteria; Pseudomonadati; Verrucomicrobiota.